AACUGUUGCCUCGGCGGGGUCACGCCCCGGGUGCGUCGCAGCCCCGGAACCAGGCGCCCGCCGGAGGAACCAACCAAACUCUUUCUGUAGUCCCCUCGCGGACGUAUUUCUUACAGCUCUGAGCAAAAAUUCAAAAUGAAUCAAAACUUUCAACAACGGAUCUCUUGGUUCUGGCAUCGAUGAAGAACGCAGCGAAAUGCGAUAAGUAAUGUGAAUUGCAGAAUUCAGUGAAUCAUCGAAUCUUUGAACGCACAUUGCGCCCGCCAGUAUUCUGGCGGGCAUGCCUGUCCGAGCGUCAUUUCAACCCUCGAACCCCUCCGGGGGAUCGGCGUUGGGGAUCGGGACCCCUCACACGGGUGCCGGCCCCGAAAUACAGUGGCGGUCUCGCCGCAGCCUCUCCUGCGCAGUAGUUUGCACAACUCGCACCGGGAGCGCGGCGCGUCCACGUCCGUAAAACACCCAACUUUCUGAAAUGUUGACCUCGGAUCAGGUAGGAAUACCCGCUGAACUUAAGCAUAUCA
RNAcentral lists this ribosomal RNA (521 nucleotides) under Trichoderma asperellum. RNAcentral's name for it is "eukaryotic LSU rRNA". The stretch from base 145 to 298 matches the Rfam family "5.8S ribosomal RNA". Lineage: Eukaryota; Fungi; Ascomycota; Sordariomycetes; Hypocreales; Hypocreaceae. The record is from RNAcentral.